UGGACAUCAUUAUCCAAAGUACCUGUAUGAAGACACGAAUUGGGUGUCAACACACUUUAUAUAGAGAGAUAUGAAAAAUUGUGGCAUAUAUGUGUAAUAAGAAUCAUAAUGCAAAAAAGUAUAUGUAUGAAGACAUGAAUUGGCAUGAACAUACUUUAUAUACAAUGAUAUAAAAAUGUGCUCUAUAUGUGUAAUAAGAAUUGUAAUGCAUUCAGCUGCU
RNAcentral lists this long non-coding RNA (220 nucleotides) under Marmota monax (woodchuck). The record is from RNAcentral. Lineage: Eukaryota; Metazoa; Chordata; Mammalia; Rodentia; Sciuridae.